This 27-nucleotide non-coding RNA is filed under the name Mus musculus (house mouse). The record is from RNAcentral. Lineage: Eukaryota; Metazoa; Chordata; Mammalia; Rodentia; Muridae.
UGCUUUGACCACGGCUACAAACAAACC